RNAcentral lists this ribosomal RNA (1372 nucleotides) under uncultured bacterium. RNAcentral's name for it is "bacterial SSU rRNA". It matches the Rfam family "Bacterial small subunit ribosomal RNA", at positions 28 to 1381 of the family's 1533-position model. The record is from RNAcentral.
GAUGAACGCUGGCGGCGUGCCUAAUACAUGCAAGUCGAGCGAACGGACGAGAAGCUUGCUUCUCUGAUGUUAGCGGCGGACGGGUGAGUAACACGUGGAUAACCUACCUAUAAGACUGGGAUAACUUCGGGAAACCGGAGCUAAUACCGGAUAAUAUUUUGAACCGCAUGGUUCAAAAGUGAAAGACGGUCUUGCUGUCACUUAUAGAUGGAUCCGCGCUGCAUUAGCUAGUUGGUAAGGUAACGGCUUACCAAGGCAACGAUGCAUAGCCGACCUGAGAGGGUGAUCGGCCACACUGGAACUGAGACACGGUCCAGACUCCUACGGGAGGCAGCAGUAGGGAAUCUUCCGCAAUGGGCGAAAGCCUGACGGAGCAACGCCGCGUGAGUGAUGAAGGUCUUCGGAUCGUAAAACUCUGUUAUUAGGGAAGAACAUAUGUGUAAGUAACUGUGCACAUCUUGACGGUACCUAAUCAGAAAGCCACGGCUACCUACGUGCCAGCAGCCGCGGUAAUACGUAGGUGGCAAGCGUUAUCCGGAAUUAUUGGGCGUAAAGCGCGCGUAGGCGGUUUUUUAAGUCUGAUGUGAAAGCCCACGGCUCAACCGUGGAGGGUCAUUGGAAACUGGAAAACUUGAGUGCAGAAGAGGAAAGUGGAAUUCCAUGUGUAGCGGUGAAAUGCGCAGAGAUAUGGAGGAACACCAGUGGCGAAGGCGACUUUCUGGUCUGUAACUGACGCUGAUGUGCGAAAGCGUGGGGAUCAAACAGGAUUAGAUACCCUGGUAGUCCACGCCGUAAACGAUGAGUGCUAAGUGUUAGGGGGUUUCCGCCCCUUAGUGCUGCAGCUAACGCAUUAAGCACUCCGCCUGGGGAGUACGACCGCAAGGUUGAAACUCAAAGGAAUUGACGGGGACCCGCACAAGCGGUGGAGCAUGUGGUUUAAUUCGAAGCAACGCGAAGAACCUUACCAAAUCUUGACAUCCUUUGACAACUCUAGAGAUAGAGCCUUCCCCUUCGGGGGACAAAGUGACAGGUGGUGCAUGGUUGUCGUCAGCUCGUGUCGUGAGAUGUUGGGUUAAGUCCCGCAACGAGCGCAACCCUUAAGCUUAGUUGCCAUCAUUAAGUUGGGCACUCUAAGUUGACUGCCGGUGACAAACCGGAGGAAGGUGGGGAUGACGUCAAAUCAUCAUGCCCCUUAUGAUUUGGGCUACACACGUGCUACAAUGGACAAUACAAAGGGCAGCGAAACCGCGAGGUCAAGCAAAUCCCAUAAAGUUGUUCUCAGUUCGGAUUGUAGUCUGCAACUCGACUACAUGAAGCUGGAAUCGCUAGUAAUCGUAGAUCAGCAUGCUACGGUGAAUACGUUCCCGGGUCU